GCCAGGGUGGUGGAGCGGCUACGCAAUCGCAUGCAGAGCGAUUUAAUUCCGGUUCGAGUCCGGAUUCUGGCA
Molecule: transfer RNA, 72 nt
Filed under: Candidatus Methanoperedens sp.
Lineage: Archaea; Methanobacteriati; Methanobacteriota; Methanomicrobia; Methanosarcinales; Candidatus Methanoperedentaceae
Description: tRNA-Cys
Rfam family: tRNA
About the family: Transfer RNA (tRNA) molecules are approximately 80 nucleotides in length. Their secondary structure includes four short double-helical elements and three loops (D, anti-codon, and T loops). Further hydrogen bonds mediate the characteristic L-shaped molecular structure. tRNAs have two regions of fundamental functional importance: the anti-codon, which is responsible for specific mRNA codon recognition, and the 3' end, to which the tRNAs corresponding amino acid is attached (by aminoacyl-tRNA synthetases). tRNAs cope with the degeneracy of the genetic code in two manners: having more than one tRNA (with a specific anti-codon) for a particular amino acid; and 'wobble' base-pairing, i.e. permitting non-standard base-pairing at the 3rd anti-codon position.
Source: RNAcentral